UUUUAAAUAUAGAUUUAGGAAUAGUGAAUUCUGGCAUAAAAAUUUAAUAUGAUAAACUUUUUUUUUCUUUUACAUUGUAAGUACCCAAUCCAUUCUGUCCUUACUAAGUGUAGUUUUCAUGUUAAUGUUACUGGAGUUGUCCUUAUUUCUGAGACUUCAUUUGCAUGUCUUAUGUUUUUUUGUCUGUUUUAGCUAAAACAAUUUUAUGCUUUUAAAAUAUUUUAGUUAUAAAGCAAAAUAUCUGGCGAGAGAUGUUUUUAAAAUGUUUACAUACAGUAAAUGUUAACCAGGUGUUUUCACACUAACAUGUACAGACUAAAAUAUUUGGGGAGAACAUUUUUUGAGUUUGUGUAGUCUGGAGAGCCACUGGCUGUCCUUUUAAUGUACAGAGUAAAUCUGUCACAGGAACCUAGAUUUAAGCCUCGAGUUCUAAGGAUACUGUCAGUCACCAUAACUGGACAACAUUUUCUAUAGCUUUUUGAUGCUACACCAUUGCCAUAUAAAGAUCUCUAAAUGUCUUAACAAGAUACGUUUUGGCUUGCAAAUUUACCAGAGAAGUGGGGAUACAGAGUAUAUAGCUCUAUAUUUAUAAGUCUGUUUUUUAAAAAGCUAAACAACACAACUUCACCUUCAGAACUGCAUUCAUCAGUGGUGAGCGGAGCUUGUUAGCAGCUCUGCUUUUUGUGGAGGGAGACUGCGGAUCCAUGCUGGUAUUACAUGGCUGUUAAAUUGUUCCUCCCCCCCCCCCCAUCUACCUCCAAACAGUAAGAUUAUGAAGGAGGCUUUUAGAAGACGAGUAGACGAAAGGGAACCCCCUUACGUGUUUAUCCAUCUAAUUACUGAAGAAUCUGGCUCGCGAAAAACAAAGAGGGACUGUUUUCAGAACGGUGACCACGAGCCUGUAAAGGUCUCACUAAAAUGCGCUGCAAAAUCCUUCCCUACGAGAGGCAGCUACCUUCGAAACGGUCUGAAAAUAGAUCCACGAGGGAGGCUGCCUCCAAAGGAGGGAGAUUUUGCAGCCUGGAUUGUUACAGUCGGGAAGAAGUGACGCAGUUGAUGUUCACAGCAGUUCUGUGCUUUCAUGCAGCUACUGAGCCCAUGCAACUAACUCCCAGCUGAUUUUUAUUUUAAAAUCUGCUAAUGCACCAAGCUUGUAAUGCCUUUGCAGCCCAGUGCCACGAGAAAAACCGGGAGGCUGUCUGGCAUUUCAGCAUGCAGCUCCAGGUUGUACUCCAUAUUGUUUGUGAGAGGGGGUGGGGUAGUGGUUCGUAAUGGCUUCUUCUUUGUAAUGCUGUAUUCUUGUCAAGUUGGGGGGCAGCAGCCCGUCUGUGUCUCCCAGUGUCUAGCGUUGUUUCUAUUUCCGAUCAUUGCAGGGAGAUGACUGCCCGCCCCCCCUUGGUGAGGCUCGUGGAAAGUGAAGAAGAGAAACUUUCAGAUUGCAAAACAGCUCUAAUCCCUGAACUCGAGUAAGCUCUCUCCACGCCUCCAGAGAGCUGCGGCCUGCUCAUUUUCUCCACUCCCUCUGAGAGGAGUCGGUGAUGAUGAGCAGAGCUCACUUUAUUUCCCAACACCUUCCUUGCUGGUGAAGUCCUUCCUUUUCUCUCAGUGUGACUCCUCUCUCAACUGAUCAAUAACAUGCUGAGGUCUCUGUCUCCUGAGAGGACUCUGUAAACCAGCCUCCUGAGAGAGAUGCUCUCAAGGACCAGGAUUGCAUACCAUAAACAAACGAACAAACCCCCAAAACCUGUCUCCGUCAUCAGUUUCUUCUCCUUACUGAAACAACCUGCAGGACUCUGGAAAUUAGCUAACCACUUGGGAGAAAAAGAGUUUAACUAGCAGGUGGAGAGAGAGUUAAACACCUAAACUUCUGCAAAUCUCACUAGGCACCUGUCUGGAUCUUUAGGUACAUAUCCAUGGUGACAGGAAACGAUCCAUCAGUUCACUAUUUACUGUUCAUUCUUCCAUUGUUUUGCAUUUAAAACUGAUUUAUUAAACAUGUUUUGAUAAACUUACUUUUUCUUGAUAUAAUCCAGCACAUUUAAGGAAGUUUUAUUCAGUAAAUAGAUGCGUCUGACGAAGUGUGACUUCACCCAUGAAAGCUUAUGCUCCAAUACGUCUGUUAGUCUGU
Non-coding RNA from Chelonoidis abingdonii (Abingdon island giant tortoise), 2128 nucleotides. The record is from RefSeq and is a predicted model, not a curated record. Lineage: Eukaryota; Metazoa; Chordata; Testudines; Testudinidae.